Pangasianodon hypophthalmus (striped catfish) is the source of this 74-nucleotide non-coding RNA. The record is from the annotation of a RefSeq genome assembly. Lineage: Eukaryota; Metazoa; Chordata; Actinopteri; Siluriformes; Pangasiidae.
GCGCUAGCUAGCUCAGUUGGUAGAGCAUGGGACUCUUGAUCUCAGGAAUGUGGGUUUGAGCCCCACGCUGGGCG